This 1238-nucleotide long non-coding RNA is filed under the name Capsicum annuum. Its description in RNAcentral is "long non-coding RNA (CANN_LNC016609)". Lineage: Eukaryota; Viridiplantae; Streptophyta; Magnoliopsida; Solanales; Solanaceae. The record is from RNAcentral.
ACAAUUUAUCCCCAGAAGACAAGGAUAAAAAAAGAUGAAGAUUUUGCUAAUUGUCUCGUCCAUUUUUUGGAUGAGCCAUGUUUUAGUAAUCUUGAUUAUGAAGAUAGUAAUUUUCGUGAAAAUAGAUUUAAGUAUCGGAACAAACCUACAAUGAUGAAGAAAUUACGGGAUGCUGCUAGUAGUAAAACAAAAAAGACCGUUAUUGUUCUUUACAAAAGAAGAAAAAAGUAUGUUGCUCAUUAUCAAAGGUAUGAUUUUUGUGUAUCUGAUAGAUUAAUUUCUCUCAUAUACAUUAUAAUUAUGUAUCAUAGUAUAUAGAAAAUUUAACUAAUGGUAAUGUAAACAGUACUGAAUUUGAUACAUAAGUAUAAUGCACUGAGACGUUGCAUAUUAUACAUAAGUAUAAUGCACUAAGACGUUGCAUAUUUUCUGAUACAUACAUAAACGGUGAAUCCGAUACAUAAGUAUAAUGCACUAAGAGGUUGCAUAUUUUCUAUAUAUAAACGGUGAAUCUGAUACAUAAAUAUAAUGCACUGAGACGUUGCAUAUUUUCUAAUACAUACAUAAAUUUACAUGCAAUUUAUGUUCUUAUAUCAUUAUAUCUAAUACAUACUAAAUUUUGAAAUUAUUUUGGAUUGUCUUGCAACUUUUAUAUUCAAAAUAUUGAGUACAACUGAUACACAUGUAUUGUAUUUAUAGUUUAUUUGAAAAAACACUUAGUAUCUUAUGUAGCAUUAUCAAUAAUAUGUUUUGGAUUAGUUAUGUAUAAGUUUUUCUAACAUUUUUUGUGGAUUUAGUUUUGUAUUUUGUGCAGCAAUUUGAUUUAGAGGAUUUGAAAGAAUUGUGAUUGGAGGAUAUUGAUGACGGUGAUUCAAAUUUGAAUUUGAUUUAGAGGAUAUAAGAGAAUUGUGAUUGAAGGAUGUUGAUAAUUGUGAUUCAAAUUUGAAUUAUGAAUUUGUUGUUAAUUUUCAGGAAUUCAAGAAACAUAUUCCAAUCAAAAUCCCAUUAAUUUCUCUGUCAUUUAAUCUCUUCCCAUUACUUUUCUUUUUCAUAGGCAAUUAAUUUGCUAGUUAUGUAUCUGAACUUAUGUAUCUGGAUGAGAUUUGGUGUAAUUAUGAAAAAAGUUGGGAGAGAGUGUAAUUAGGUAGGAAACUAUUGAGAUUUAUGUUAUUUGCCCUAAAAUUAAAGGGAGUUGGCCAAACCCAUCGAUAGGCACUCAAACUUGUUGUGAAAAUUCA